GCUCGCUUGGUGAAAUUGGUAAACACGGCAGACUUAAAAUCUGUUUUUCCCAUAAAAGGGAAAUACCGGUUCAAGUCCGGUAGCGAGUA
Molecule: transfer RNA, 89 nt
Filed under: Ancoracysta twista
Lineage: Eukaryota; Nebulidia; Nebulidea; Nebulidida; Ancoracystidae
Description: tRNA-Leu
Rfam family: tRNA
About the family: Transfer RNA (tRNA) molecules are approximately 80 nucleotides in length. Their secondary structure includes four short double-helical elements and three loops (D, anti-codon, and T loops).
Source: RNAcentral